CAGGAAUUCAUCAUCUAAUGGAUUAUUUGGAGAUGGUGUAGAAUUUUUUUUUUUUUUUUUUUUAUCUUUUUACAAAAUGGUGACCUGGUUGGAGUUGAUCGCGAUGAUGGAUUGAACGUUUUGAUUUUUGGCGUAGACCCGAUUUCUCUGUCUUUUUCCACUGUGUGGGUGCUUUUCGCAAUUAUAUGGGUUUUUUUUCGAGGCCUUUCUUUUUGUCUGUCAAUUUUCGUCGUCGUCUUGUUGACCUUUGUUUCUCCAAUCGUGCUUUUCCACAUCUG
RNAcentral lists this long non-coding RNA (278 nucleotides) under Mytilus galloprovincialis (Mediterranean mussel). The record is from RNAcentral. Lineage: Eukaryota; Metazoa; Mollusca; Bivalvia; Mytilida; Mytilidae.